GGGCCCGCACAAGCGGUGGAGUAUGUGGUUUAAUUCGAUGCAACGCGAAGAACCUUACCUGGGUUUGACAUCCCUCGAAUCCUCCCGAAAAGGAGGAGUGCCCUUCGGGGAACGGGGUGACAGGUGCUGCAUGGCUGUCGUCAGCUCGUGCCGUGAGGUGUUGGGUUAAGUCCCGCAACGAGCGCAACCCUUGUCCUUAGUUGCCAGCAGGUAGAGCUGGGCACUCUAGGGAGACCGCCUCGGUCAACGGGGAGGAAGGUGGGGACGACGUCAAGUCAUCAUGGCCCUUACGCCCAGGGCUACACACGUACUACAAUGGUGGGUACAAUGGGCUGCGAGACCGCAAGGUGGAGCCAAUCCCAAAAAACCCAUCCCAGUUCGGAUCGGGGUCUGCAACUCGACCCCGUGAAGUCGGAAUCGCUAGUAAUCGGAGAUCAGCAUGCUCCGGUGAAUACGUUCCCGGGCCUU
Molecule: ribosomal RNA, 468 nt
Filed under: uncultured bacterium
Lineage: Bacteria
Description: bacterial SSU rRNA
Rfam family: Bacterial small subunit ribosomal RNA
Source: RNAcentral